UAGGGAAUCUUCCGCAAUGGGCGAAAGCUUGACGGAGCAACGCCGCGUGAGUGAUGAAGGUCUUCGGAUCGUAAAACUCUGUUAUUAGGGAAGAACAAAUGUGUAAGUAACUAUGCACGUCUUGACGGUACCUAAUCAGAAAGCCACGGCUAACUACGUGCCAGCAGCCGCGGUAAUACGUAGGUGGCAAGCGUUAUCCGGAAUUAUUGGGCGUAAAGCGCGCGUAGGCGGUUUUUUAAGUCUGAUGUGAAAGCCCACGGCUCAACCGUGGAGGGUCAUUGGAAACUGGAAAACUUGAGUGCAGAAGAGGAAAGUGGAAUUCCAUGUGUAGCGGUGAAAUGCGCAGAGAUAUGGAGGAACACCAGUGGCGAAGGCGACUUUCUGGUCUGUAACUGGCGCUGAUGUGCGAAAGCGUGGGGAUCAAACAGG
RNAcentral lists this ribosomal RNA (429 nucleotides) under Actinomycetes bacterium. Its description in RNAcentral is "Actinobacteria bacterium partial 16S ribosomal RNA". It matches the Rfam family "Bacterial small subunit ribosomal RNA", at positions 355 to 776 of the family's 1533-position model. Lineage: Bacteria; Bacillati; Actinomycetota; Actinomycetes. The record is from RNAcentral.